RNAcentral lists this unclassified non-coding RNA (1946 nucleotides) under Eufriesea mexicana. RNAcentral's name for it is "aTP-dependent RNA helicase p62-like, transcript variant X1". The record is from RNAcentral. Lineage: Eukaryota; Metazoa; Arthropoda; Insecta; Hymenoptera; Apidae.
CCCACUUUUGAAUACGUUUGUCCGAUGUUGUCUCACAUCCGGGUACAUAUUAAAUCGUUCUUUCUGUUCCUGGAUGUGGCGAAUCUUCGCUUACUGAAUCAAUUAAGUACAAGUUAUUACCUUCAAUAGUAAUUUCAUUAGAAGCUGAAAGUCAUUUAUUACUUCAAAUAUGUUACGACAGGUAGUAGGAGCAAUUGGAUCUCUCAGAAUUAGGACAUACGGGGCUAGUUAUCACAGUGGAAAUUAUAGAAGUACUAAAGAAAGAGGAUCUACAUAUGGAAAUGUUACCAGUAAUAAAAAUGGACGAUAUGAUAAUCGUAACAAAAAUAAUAUGCAUACUGCUCUUGGAACCUUGAAGAAACCAAAUUGGAACUUCGAAAAUUUAAAGCCUUUUAAGAAAGACUUCUAUAUACCACAUCCAAAUGUUCAAGCACGUCAUCCACAGGAAGUAGACAUAUUUAGACAAGAAAAUCAAAUUACCCUCAAAGGAGAGAAAAUUCCUAAUCCUAUACAACAUUUUGAAGAAGGAAAUUUCCCUGAGCAUGUAAUGCAAUGUAUCAGAAAGCAAGGGUUCAGUGAACCAACUGCUAUUCAAGCUCAAGGAUGGCCAAUUGCUAUGUCUGGGCACAAUAUGGUUGGAAUAGCACAAACUGGAUCUGGGAAAACUUUAGGAUAUAUACUACCUGCUAUAGUACACAUUAGCAGUCAACAGCCUCUAAAUCAUGGUGAUGGACCAAUUGCUCUUAUUUUAGCACCAACUAGAGAAUUGGCACAGCAAAUUCAGAAAGUUACUUACGGUUUUGGUUAUGUGAGAAGCACUUGUAUUUUUGGUGGUGCACCAAAAGGAAAUCAAGCUCGUGAUUUAGAACAAGGAGUUGAGAUUUGCAUUGCUACACCUGGACGAUUAAUUGACUUUUUGGAACGUGGUACAACUAAUUUACGCAGAUGCACAUAUUUGGUAUUAGAUGAAGCAGAUAGAAUGUUAGAUAUGGGUUUUGAACCACAGAUCCGAAAAAUUAUUGAACAAAUCAGGCCAGACAGACAAGUUUUAAUGUGGUCUGCAACUUGGCCAAAAGAAGUUCGAAAUCUUGCAGAGGAAUAUCUUGUAGACUAUACACAAUUGAACAUUGGAUCAUUAACAUUAUCAGCUAAUCACAAUAUUCUUCAAAUUGUUGAUGUUUGUGAGGAACAUGAAAAACAAAUAAAAUUGCAAAACCUCCUUCAAGAAAUUAGUAAUGUUAAUCCAGAUGGCGGAAAAACAAUAAUUUUUGUAGAAACGAAAAAAAAAGUGGAAAGUAUCACUAAAAUUAUUCGUCGUUAUGGUUGGCCAGCAGUAUGUAUACAUGGUGAUAAAUCUCAAUUGGAAAGAGAUUUUGUCCUUACAGAAUUUAGAAGGAAUAAGGAUGCAAUUCUUGUAGCAACAGAUGUUGCUGCCCGUGGAUUGGAGGCACAUGGUGCACAAAUUGUAUUGAGUGUGCGAUGAAAAACGAUCGUUCAAUAAAGAAAACAUGGCUCACUCAUUGUACAUGCGCAAUUCUGUUUUGCACAUAAUAUUGUACUUAAUGUGCCUCUGUGUUCAGCCUGUGUACCACGCAAGUAGUAGAGUGGUGCGCGGGUGGUACUGCUGUCGGCGCUGGUUGGUUGUGAGAUAAGACCGUGGUUUACAUUUUGGUACAACCAUCACACUUCAUAGCCAAUGCUCAGCCCGUAUCAGAGACAACAAUCUAUUGAUUUUGCUACUAUCGCUACUCGGUGGUGAUGCUUAGGACACGACGUUGCGAUGUGAAGUUGCAUUUAAGAAUAGCACACAUCGUGGGGCGCUCUGUAUGCAGUCAUACGGAACGCAAUGUUCAACAAUAAAAGGAUGUCGACGACGUAAAGUACGUGAUCAACUUCGAUUAUCCGACUUCAUCUGAAGACUACAUUCAUAGAAUUGGUAGAACGGG